This 460-nucleotide ribosomal RNA is filed under the name uncultured bacterium. RNAcentral describes it as "partial 16S ribosomal RNA". It matches the Rfam family "Bacterial small subunit ribosomal RNA", at positions 338 to 795 of the family's 1533-position model. The record is from RNAcentral.
CCUACGGGAGGCUGCAGUGAGGAAUAUUGGUCAAUGGACGAGAGUCUGAACCAGCCAAGUAGCGUGAAGGAUGACUGCCCUCUGGGUUGUAAACUUCUUUUAUAUGGGAGUAAAAUGUUCCACGUGUGGGAUUUUGUAUGUACAAUAUGAAUACGGAACGGCUCACUCCGUGCCAGCAGCCGCGGUAAUACGGAGGAUCCGAGCGUUAUCCGGAUUUAGUGGGUUUAAAGGGAGCGUAGGUGGAUUGGUAAGUCAGUUGUGAAAGUUGGCGGCUCAACCGUAAAAUUGCAGUUGAAACUGGCAGUCUUGAGUACAGUAGAGGUGGGCGGAAUUCGUGGUGUAGCGGUGAAAUGCUUAGAUAUCACGAAGAACUCCGAUUGCGAAGGCAGUUCACUGGACUGCAACUGACACUGAGGCUCGAAAGUGUGGGUAUCAAACAGGAUUAGAUACCCCAGUAGUC